UGGGGAAUAUUGGGCAAUGGGCGAAAGCCUGACCCAGCAACGCCGCGUGAGGGAAGAAGGCUUUCGGGUCGUAAACCUCUGUCGCAGGGGACGAGAAGAAGACGGUACCCUGUGAGGAAGCUCCGGCUAACUACGUGCCAGCAGCCGCGGUAAUACGUAGGGAGCGAGCGUUGUCCGGAAUGACUGGGCGUAAAGGGCGCGUAGGCGGCCUGAUAAGUCUGGAGUGAAAGUCCCGCUUUCAAGGUGGGAAUUGCUUUGGAGACUGUCGGGCUUGAGUAUGGGAGAGGAUAGCGGAAUUCCCGGUGUAGCGGUGAAAUGCGUAGAGAUCGGGAGGAACACCAGUGGCGAAGGCGGCUAUCUGGACCAAAACUGACGCUGAGGCGCGAAAGCGUGGGGAGCAAACA
Molecule: ribosomal RNA, 404 nt
Filed under: uncultured bacterium
Lineage: Bacteria
Description: partial 16S ribosomal RNA
Rfam family: Bacterial small subunit ribosomal RNA
Source: RNAcentral